GGAUACGAUUUCUACUAUUUCAUUCAGAUUAUUCUGAAGUGAGAUUGCCCUUCCCCGAUAGAGGAGGGUGGUUCUUUGGUCAAGGGUAUGGGAGUAGCUGUGUCCCUGCUAGAGCCUCCAAACAAGCUCUCCAUUUGUAGGAGAACGUAGGCCCAUCAAGCUUCCAAGACUCCAGACACAUCCAGUGAGGCGCUGAACGCGACAGUCUGCCUUUCU
This 216-nucleotide small nuclear RNA is filed under the name Tursiops truncatus (common bottlenose dolphin). RNAcentral describes it as "7SK RNA (ENSTTRG00000024701.1)". It matches the Rfam family "7SK RNA". From Rfam's summary of the family: 7SK was discovered as an abundant small nuclear RNA in the mid-70s but a possible function has only recently been suggested. Two independent studies have found that 7SK RNA binds the CDK9/cyclin T complex (known as elongation factor P-TEFb). P-TEFb activates transcription by phosphorylating the C-terminal domain of RNA polymerase II. Lineage: Eukaryota; Metazoa; Chordata; Mammalia; Artiodactyla; Delphinidae. The record is from Rfam by way of RNAcentral.